Long non-coding RNA from Papaver somniferum (opium poppy), 161 nucleotides. RefSeq lists it as uncharacterized. The record is from RefSeq and is a predicted model, not a curated record. The transcript has 3 exons. NCBI's taxonomy places the organism in Eukaryota, Viridiplantae, Streptophyta, Magnoliopsida, Ranunculales, Papaveraceae.
GAAGACAUUGAGGCGUUUUUUUGGGACAGUUCAUGUGUUGGCUUAUGGAGUAUCUACCUUAAACAGUGCAGUUGCUUGUAAGAAAUGCUAAAAGACAGGAACCGCAGUCAUGGUUUGCUAUUUGUGGUAUUGGUCUCGCUGGAACUGGAGUUAACGCUGAA